CCUGGCUUACCUCCNUCAGUUAUGCGUCAUGACUUGUAUCGUCUUGAGCGUAUUGUGGGUUUCCUGUGUUGCAUACCUUUCUAAUGGUAUCGUGCUGAUUGAUCGAAGUCCCUUUUCAUCUUGUGUUGCUUUUUGUGACGCAUGAUGAACAUCGAGGCGGUCUCUAUGUUCCACCACGUUGAUGCUACUGUUUCAAUGUUGUGGCCCAUUGAGCGUUGCUUGGUUUCGUGGAUACAGAACAUGAUUUGGGCAUAGGGUUACUUGUGACUCUUGUUCUGUCCUUUAUCAGUGUUCUUUAUAACGACGGUUCAUGCGCGCCUAGGCUCGUACCUGCGCGAUGUUCUUUGUCGAAGAGGAAUGCUACCUGGUUGAUCCUGCCAGUAGUCAUAUGCUUGUCUCAAAGAUUAAGCCAUG
Molecule: unclassified non-coding RNA, 414 nt
Filed under: Senecio depressicola
Lineage: Eukaryota; Viridiplantae; Streptophyta; Magnoliopsida; Asterales; Asteraceae
Description: partial contains external transcribed spacer and 18S ribosomal RNA
Rfam family: Eukaryotic small subunit ribosomal RNA (bases 362-414)
Source: RNAcentral